CUGUGUCAUAAAAGUGACCACAGCUGAGCCGAUCUCGCCCUAUGCCAGUCCACGUGGUAAUUUUGGAAGGGCCCUGGGAUAUCUGACCUUAUGAUGGUAGAAAAGGCUUGGACUACAUGUUUGGUUUGAAGUUUGAAAAUCUCAGUCCUUCCCCAACCAUCAAAAAUAUUUACCUCCCUCCCUUGUCUCACAAUCAUCUAAGCUGCCUCCUUGAAUUGACUCCCACACCUGUUCAUCAUAGAAGGAAAAAAAUAAAAGCAAAUGCCAUAUAAAAUCUCUCUUCUUCAACAAGGUCUUCUGUUUUGAAAUACUGAAACAGUUCCUGUUCUAUUACCUCACCAGCUGUGGCCUUUUAUCUCCUAAAGGGAAUAGCUGACGUCUUACCAGUCAAAGUCAUUGUGCUUACGGACGCCAUAAAUAUCUCCUUUAAAUCCUACUUGAUAAAUUUCCCUCUGAUUGGUAAAGCAGAUACUGUAACAUGCAAAGGGGGAGCAGGAGAGUCUUUGAUGAUGUUAAACUAAGCCCCUGGAGAUAUCCCAGCUCUUCCUCCAGAAUUUUACUUUCCAACAACUGGAGUCAACAAAUACGGUAGAAAAUGUUGUCUGGAUUAUCUACUCCCAUUAUUUUUUUUUAAACUGGUUUUCAAUGAUGGGCAACCUAAAAUUUACUCACACAGAACACAAAACAGUUGAAUUUGUUAAAAGUCCAAAAUGUGCUUUUGUACUUUUGUAAAAUGGGAAUGUGCUUCUUGUACAAAUCACAAUAUGCUUUCUAGACCACAACCUAAAAAGGAAAGAAAAAAAUCCUGUGAAUAAAAAAUAAAACAAGGACUUUCAGUUUUCUACAUGCAUUUGAAAUGACUUUAUCUCUGACUCAUGUUCUACUUUAUUUUUGAUUGGGAAGACCUGUUC
Molecule: long non-coding RNA, 911 nt
Filed under: Pan troglodytes (chimpanzee)
Lineage: Eukaryota; Metazoa; Chordata; Mammalia; Primates; Hominidae
Description: long non-coding RNA NONPTRT000678
Source: RNAcentral